Molecule: ribosomal RNA, 755 nt
Filed under: uncultured Acinetobacter sp.
Lineage: Bacteria; Pseudomonadati; Pseudomonadota; Gammaproteobacteria; Moraxellales; Moraxellaceae
Description: bacterial SSU rRNA
Rfam family: Bacterial small subunit ribosomal RNA
Source: RNAcentral
AUUGAACGCUGGCGGCAGGCUUAACACAUGCAAGUCGAGCGGGGAAGGGUAGCUUGCUACCUGACCUAGCGGCGGACGGGUGAGUAAUGCUUAGGAAUCUGCCUAUUAGUGGGGGACAACAUUCCGAAAGGAAUGCUAAUACCGCAUACGCCCUACGGGGGAAAGCAGGGGAUCUUCGGACCUUGCGCUAAUAGAUGAGCCUAAGUCAGAUUAGCUAGUUGGUGGGGUAAAGGCCUACCAAGGCGACGAUCUGUAGCGGGUCUGAGAGGAUGAUCCGCCACACUGGGACUGAGACACGGCCCAGACUCCUACGGGAGGCAGCAGUGGGGAAUAUUGGGCAAUGGGCGCAAGCCUGAUCCAGCCAUGCCGCGUGUGUGAAGAAGGCCUUUUGGUUGCAAAGCACUUUAAGCGAGGAGGAGGCUACUUGGAUUAAUACUCUAGGAUAGUGGACGUUACUCGCAGAAUAAGCACCGGCUAACUCUGUGCCAGCAGCCGCGGUAAUACAGAGGGUGCGAGCGUUAAUCGGAUUUACUGGGCGUAAAGCGUGCGUAGGCGGCUUUUUAAGUCGGAUGUGAAAUUCCUGAGCUUAACUUAGGAAUUGCAUUCGAUACUGGGAAGCUAGAGUAUGGGAGAGGAUGGUAGAAUUCCAGGUGUAGCGGUGAAAUGCGUAGAGAUCUGGAGGAAUACCGAUGGCGAAGGCAGCCAUCUGGCCUAAUACUGACGCUGAGGUACGAAAAGCAUGGGGAGCAAACAGG